RNAcentral lists this ribosomal RNA (145 nucleotides) under Ochrophyta sp. RNAcentral's name for it is "partial small subunit ribosomal RNA". It matches the Rfam family "Eukaryotic small subunit ribosomal RNA", at positions 1296 to 1460 of the family's 1831-position model. The record is from RNAcentral.
AGUUGGUGGAGUGAUUUGUCUGGUUUAUUCCGUUAACGAACGAGACCCUCGCCUGCUAAAUAGCAAAUUUUAUCAAUUUGAUAGAUGAUUGCUUCUUAGAGGGACAUGUAGCAUUAAGCUACAGGAAGAUGAGGGCGAUAACAGG